GUAUAUUGUAUUGCGUUAAACGCGGCAUGCAUUCCAUGAGACUUUGUUACAGUGUGUGUGUAAAGAUGCAGAACCAUAGCAGGAGGACAGGCCCCCCAACCAUAGAACCACAGAGGGUGCACAGGGUGUGAGUGGAUGUGUGAACAGAGCGUGCACAUGUCCCCAUUUGAGGACCAGCAACAACUCUUGUUGACAAUUCAGUAAUGAUCCUUCCGCAGGUUCACCUACGGAAA
This 233-nucleotide unclassified non-coding RNA is filed under the name uncultured fungus. RNAcentral describes it as "sequence contains ITS1". The record is from RNAcentral. Lineage: Eukaryota; Fungi.